Amphiprion percula (orange clownfish) is the source of this 41-nucleotide ribosomal RNA. NCBI's taxonomy places the organism in Eukaryota, Metazoa, Chordata, Actinopteri, Pomacentridae. The record is from Ensembl.
CUGAAUACACCUGAUCUCAUCUGAUCUGCAAAGCUAAGCAG